GGAGAGGUGGCCGAGUGGUUUAAGGCAGCAGUCUUGAAAACUGCCGUAGGUUUACGCCUACCGUGGGUUCGAAUCCCACCCUCUCCGCCA
RNAcentral lists this transfer RNA (90 nucleotides) under Dyella caseinilytica. RNAcentral describes it as "tRNA-Ser". It matches the Rfam family "tRNA". Rfam says of the family: Transfer RNA (tRNA) molecules are approximately 80 nucleotides in length. Their secondary structure includes four short double-helical elements and three loops (D, anti-codon, and T loops). Lineage: Bacteria; Pseudomonadati; Pseudomonadota; Gammaproteobacteria; Lysobacterales; Rhodanobacteraceae. The record is from RNAcentral.